Arvicanthis niloticus (Nile rat) is the source of this 1099-nucleotide non-coding RNA. The record is from RefSeq and is a predicted model, not a curated record. NCBI's taxonomy places the organism in Eukaryota, Metazoa, Chordata, Mammalia, Rodentia, Muridae.
CAGAAGAAGAGACCAAAGCUACAAGCCCCUCGUGAACCAACUGCAUCCUCCAGCGGGGAAGAGCACUGAGGAGACACCUGAGCCAGCAAGUGGGACCUGCAGACAGGCUGUGAUACACAAGCAGGACAAAAGAUACUGACAGUCCCCAGCACCACACCUCAAGCUCACCUGCAUGAGGAGUACCAGAUCCCAAGUGCUGCGGAGCCGUUGUGACAUUUAAUAAAAAUAAUUCAAGGGCCAACUACAGAAAGAGGUAAGGAAAGGUGGAGUCGGACCACGGAAGAGAACGCCUGAGAACUGAGGUGUGGAGACCCAUCAUCGCCAGGACUGUUCUCGUCUUCAGCUCUCUGAGUGUCGGCUGCCCACCCCCAAAACUCUGAGAUAGACUAAGCUAAACGUAUGAAAGGUUGUAUCUGAAGCUAAGACUCCCGGAGGCAAAGGAGCAUGCUUUCCCAGCAGUCUCUGGCAUCCUGCUUCUGCCUAAUGACCUCACUGCUGAUCUCCCCCCACUUUGACAGCGGAGAGCCCUCCCAUAUACCAAUUCUUGAUCAUUUCCAACCCUGUGUAGGCUCUUCCUUCCCCUUCUGUGUCUGCUUUACAACACGAAACAAGCAAUAUUCAAGUCAUGAUAGAGACAGGAUAAACUGAGAUACUAAAGUGGCAGCCUUUGUCACCUUGUCUAGCCCACCGAGAUUCAUUACCUUGAGUUCUAACAGCACUCUGUCGUUUACUGAAGAAACUGAUGGAUAAAGAGAUCAACCCUGGACACACAGUCAGGAAAUGGCAGAGAUGGACUCUGCCACGCUCUAUAGGGAGUCAAAAGUCCCAAUUCUCCCCUAAGAGUCCUGUUACCUCUCCAUAAUGUGUCUACAGUGUAUCCUAUGCCCCUGUCGCCUGCCUUCCAGGUAGAAGAUCUCCUGGUAGGGAUCCAGUCUGACUCAGCAGAGUUCAGGAAGCAGGAGAGGAAACCGGAUCCUGAGCCCCCUUGGCUUAGAGAGUCCUAAGAGCAUAAGGAGCCAUUCCAGUCUGUCAGGACAGAUGUAAUCAGGGUGACCUCGCCUUUUUCACAGAUUCAUUAAAGUCUGUGUUCUGGGGUAAA